Long non-coding RNA from Chrysemys picta bellii (western painted turtle), 3306 nucleotides. RefSeq lists it as uncharacterized. The record is from RefSeq and is a predicted model, not a curated record. Lineage: Eukaryota; Metazoa; Chordata; Testudines; Emydidae.
AGAGCUUUGCUAGUGAAGAGACAAAAAUGAAACGGCAGGAAUAGGAACAAUGGGCAGAAUUUGAAUGUCUUCAUUUUGUACAUGUGCAGCUGAAUUUCAUACUGGUCUGACAGCUCUGGAACCUCGAGGGGUGAGAUUUUUGAAGUGAUUGCACCAGGAUGUAAGUGCGUGAACAGCAGCCUUUUCCUUUCUAAUCAGGCUGCUCCAUUCAGUGAUAUGCGGGCCAGGGCUGCUGAUGCCCCACUUUAUAGCCGGGACUGGGAGCAUCCUCACAACACAGCUUGGCUUUCGCUGUUUGGUGCCUGAACCUGCUUCUGAGAAGUGUGUGGAGCCAUCAGGACAAGGAAGCAGUGGGAAGUCGGAGCAUCAGUGCCACCGACAUAAGCAAAGGGAUUGUCUGGAGGAUACUUCGUGGCACAAGGGAAAGGAACAGAGCUUGCUCUGCCGAGCCUCGGCGUGAGCAGACCCCCACCCAGAAGACACAGGAGUUCUGUGGUGUAGCCACGAUGGCUAUUAUCAUUAUUUGUAUAACAGUAGCACUGAGAGGCCCCCAGCUGAGAUCAGCAUCCCAUUGUGUUCGGUGCUGUGUAGAUAGAGAGGGAGAGAGAGUCUAUACCUCAAAGAGCUUAGAGCAUACAUAGACAAAGGAUGGGAGAAGAGACUUGCCACAGGGUUACCCAGCAGGUCAAUAGCAGAGUUAGGAACAGAACCCAGGUCUCCUAAGUCCCAACCCAGUGUCCUACCCAAUGGACCAUGCUGCCGCUCUAGCACCAGUUGGGGGUCAGCCUCUCCCUGCUGCAGCUUUUUUGCCUUUCUUGGAGAAAAACCUGGCUCCAACCCUUCACGCCAGAUUUCGCUCCUCCACUUUGCCGAGACGGAGCUAGAACAGGCUAGAGGAGCUGCAAAGUGGGCUCCCACCUAGCCCUAGCCCCAGUGCUCUUAGGGUUCCCCCCUGGAGUCUUCUCAUAGCUCGCUCUCUCCGUCAGCCACUAACUUGGAAAGAGCUUCCCAGUCCAGCCACGUGGAGGUGGGGGUGAUUCCCAGUACAGCUCGCUGCAGGUGGAGGUGGGGGUGAUUUGGCUGAAGGAAGGCUGGGCAAAUGCAGCAAUAGGAAAUUUUAUUUACUCCUCCAAGGAGGGAGGGGGCUGGCUCUGCUCCUCUCAACCCCAGAUCCCCCUGUUUUACUCUGGGAAGGGGCUGAUGCUGUGAUUCUCACCCCCCGAGCCCUCCUGUCUCACCCAGGCAGGGGGCUGUCUCUGCCCCUUUAAACCCCAGAGCCCCCUUUAUCCUCCUCUGAAGCUCUCCCCAUAACCCUAACCUUGAGCCCCCACUCUCCCAUGGGGCAACUCUCCCACGGGGCAACUGCUGUCAUGAGAAAGCAGCUUUUCUCUUUUUCUCCCUUCCCUUUAAGCCAGUAGGGCCGACAGAAAGGGCCUAGGCAACUGGGAGAAGCUAAAAACUGCCAGCGAUUGUAACCACCCUGCGGGCCCCAGCUCCGGGUGCCUCAUUCCCCACAGUCACUCUAUUGUCUGCACAAAGACAAGUUCCAAGCUCCUUCAGGAACAUGGGAAAUAGUGGGUGGUUGGCAGCCUUGGCCUCUUCCCUUUCAUCUUUCACCCCCCACCACCACGGCCAGAUGAGUUUUUAGUCUAUUUUCUCCUCUUCUCCUUCCUCCUCCUCCUCCCCCCAGUCUCACUAGCUUUCUCCUGGUGUCUCCAUCCGCUCGGUCUCUCCGUCCAGGCGCCUGCCUGAGAGCUCUUGAUCUGAUUCCCACAUCGCACAAACAGCCCUGGAUGUUUUGAACAGGGUUGCAAGUCUCUUUAGUGAAGGUUUGAAUGCCAGACCCCCAGGACAGGAGAGGAAGCCUCCUGCAGACCCGCUACAAACAACUCGCCCAGCCAGUGGCAACAGGACUCCUCUGGAUUUUUGGCAUAAUUCAGAACAGCUGCUGGGAAUGAAUUCUAUGAUUAAAUGUGGAGAGCGAGCUCCUCUGGGGGGUGGCAGCUCCAAGCCACUGGAGCAGCACCACAGUGGGGGAGCCAGAGCGUGGUCCCUUAAUAUCCACAUCAGGCUACAUUGCCACAGGGGGGUGGAGAUGCCCAUGAAUGAACAUGGACACAACUGUCCUCCCAGCCUGCUAUAGAGGGUGCAGACACAAGGACCAUUGGUGCAGCCCUCACCACAAUUAAUCCUAUUUACCCCUUUCAGUUGGGGGGUCCCAAAGUCUAUUACUGGCAUUACUGAUUUAAUCCCAAACAACCCCUCCAGUGAGGGAGGCAAGCAUCACCCUUAUUCACAGAUGGGGAAACUGAGGCACGGAGCUGGGAAAUGACUUGCCCAGGGUCAUGCAGUGAGCGAGGGGCAGAGCUGGGAACAGAACCUCUGUUCCCGCUUCCCAAGCCGAGGCUGUAACCACAAGGCCCACUCCUCACAAAGGAGUCCUGGGGUGAAUGAACAGGGGAGCUGCGCAGCCUUCUCACUCAGUCUAGGACAAGGCGUUCCCCUCAGCCCUGGGCUACACUGACUGAGCAGCGUGGAAACAACACACUCCCUUGUCUCCUAGAACAUAACCACUGCCCUGCUCAAUGAAUUAACCUCAGCUGGUUCUAAGCUUCCUGGGAAAGGGUUUGCUCUGCUCAGAGGUGCCCAAAUACCUUCCUAUCUUAGUCUGGUUAUCCCGCCCCGGCCCCUUUCUAGAGCAAUCAGGGAGGGCUGCAGCUCCUGUGAUUACCUCCCAUCAUCCCAACACUGCAUUUACAUUCCCUUCCUGCAAAUAGCAUGAAAUUAAAGCAAAUCAACAACACAAUUAUGCCCAUCGCAUGCACAGAGGGAUGGGAUGACACCCAUGAGAUAAGGAUGAGGCUGUGACAUGAAGCAACAAAUCCAGGCAAGGUGAUGCUUCAGACAAACCCUCCACCCCCAGCAAGGGCCCCCCGAGGGUUCAUUUUGGUGCAUUAGGUAAGGAGCCAGUGUGCUGCCUCCUCACGGCACAGCCUUAAUAUAUUGGACUCAAUUCAUCCCUGAUGUAACAAUGAAGGCAAUGGAAUUACACCAGGAAUCAGCCUGGCCCAUAUUGCUUUGUACAGGGAUUGCCUGGGGGGGUUAAAGAGUUGAAACGAAUUAACUAGUUCUAGUACGUACGAGUUCUACAUGUGCAAACUGCCUCCUUUCGAAUCGUGCCUAUCCGUCCGUGUUCGUUCACAGCGCACCCAUCAGUGCCGGAACUCAGCAUCAACGGGUACUUACAUGUUGGAACAUGUACAAAAGGUGUCUUUAAAGAUUCAUGCCUACCACAAGCUCACACAA